Coprinopsis cinerea okayama7#130 is the source of this 89-nucleotide transfer RNA. It matches the Rfam family "tRNA". From Rfam's summary of the family: Transfer RNA (tRNA) molecules are approximately 80 nucleotides in length. Lineage: Eukaryota; Fungi; Basidiomycota; Agaricomycetes; Agaricales; Psathyrellaceae. The record is from Rfam.
UCGGAUAUGGUGUAACGGCUAACAUUGCUGCCUCUCAUUCAGUAGAGUUUGGUCCGCAGCAGCUCGGGGUUCGAUUCCCCGUAUCCGAA